GGCAGCAGUGGGGAAUAUUGCACAAUGGGCGAAAGCCUGAUGCAGCAACGCCGCGUGAGUGAUGAAGGCCUUCGGGUCGUAAAACUCUGUCCUCAAGGAAGAUAAUGACGGUACUUGAGGAGGAAGCCCCGGCUAACUACGUGCCAGCAGCCGCGGUAAUACGUAGGGGGCUAGCGUUAUCCGGAUUUACUGGGCGUAAAGGGUGCGUAGGCGGUCUUGCAAGUCAGGAGUGAAAGGCUACGGCUCAACCGUAGUAAGCUCUUGAAACUGGGAGACUUGAGUGCAGGAGAGGAGAGUGGAAUUCCUAGUGUAGCGGUGAAAUGCGUAGAUAUUAGGAGGAACACCA
This 346-nucleotide ribosomal RNA is filed under the name Clostridioides difficile. RNAcentral describes it as "bacterial SSU rRNA". It matches the Rfam family "Bacterial small subunit ribosomal RNA", at positions 347 to 711 of the family's 1533-position model. Lineage: Bacteria; Bacillati; Bacillota; Clostridia; Peptostreptococcales; Peptostreptococcaceae. The record is from RNAcentral.